This is a long non-coding RNA of Dermochelys coriacea (leatherback sea turtle), 396 nucleotides long. RefSeq lists it as uncharacterized. The transcript has 3 exons. Lineage: Eukaryota; Metazoa; Chordata; Testudines; Dermochelyidae. The record is from RefSeq and is a predicted model, not a curated record.
GCAAGACGGAUGCACCUCUGUAAAUGGAUGCAUGUCAGUUUGAAUGAGGCUGCGGGAGCGGGUGAGCUGUGGGAUCAGAUAACACCAGCUGGUCGCUCUGCUCCAGGAGAGCUCAUUCAUGCCCAGGAGCAGUGGGCAUGCUGCCCCAUCCCUGAGGAGACUGCAGUGGGUUCCCCUCUAAUCUGGCUGGGCAGCUCCACUAACAGUUUUUACAGAGCUCUGGCUGGACUUCCAAAUGAGAGGACAAGAAAACAAGGCAAGAAAAGUUUUGGACCAAGCUGUAAACCCGAAUGGACUGAUUGGUUUCAUUGAGCUGGUUGUGUCUGUAACUUCCUGGAAGGUGGAGGUGUCCGGGCACAAGGAACUUGGUCUUCAGUCCAUGCUAAUUUAUGCAAU